UACGGAGGGUGCGAGCGUUAAUCGGAAUAACUGGGCGUAAAGGGCACGCAGGCGGGCUGUUAAGUGAGAUGUGAAAUCCCCGGGCUUAACCUGGGAACAGCAUUUGAGACUGGGAGUCUAGAGUUAUUUAGGGGGGGGUAGAAUUCCACGUGUAGCGGUGAAAUGCGUAGAGAUGUGGAGGAAUACCGAUGGCGAAGGCAGCCCCUUGGGAGUGUACUGACGCUCAGGUGCGAAAGCGUGGGGAGCAAACAGG
This 253-nucleotide ribosomal RNA is filed under the name uncultured bacterium. Its description in RNAcentral is "partial 16S ribosomal RNA". It matches the Rfam family "Bacterial small subunit ribosomal RNA", at positions 524 to 776 of the family's 1533-position model. The record is from RNAcentral.